This is a small nucleolar RNA of Eublepharis macularius, 70 nucleotides long. RefSeq annotates it as small nucleolar RNA SNORD82. The transcript has a single exon. The record is from RefSeq and is a predicted model, not a curated record. NCBI's taxonomy places the organism in Eukaryota, Metazoa, Chordata, Lepidosauria, Squamata, Eublepharidae.
AGCACAAAUGAUGAGCAUUGGGACUUAAUACUGAUGUUUGCUGUGAUGUCUCAGUUGCGUACUGAUGUGU